This 235-nucleotide long non-coding RNA is filed under the name Lactuca sativa (garden lettuce). RNAcentral describes it as "long non-coding RNA (LSAT_LNC002025)". Lineage: Eukaryota; Viridiplantae; Streptophyta; Magnoliopsida; Asterales; Asteraceae. The record is from RNAcentral.
GAUAACAAAGCUGAAAGAUGGACUUGCAUUGGGCUGUACGUUCAAUCAUGCGAUCUUAGAUGGCACAUCCACGUGGCACUUCAUGAGCUCAUGGGCCGAAAUCUGCAACGGAUCUAAAUCCAUAUCCGUUCAGCCUUUCCUUGACCGAACUCAAGCCCGAAACACGCGCGUGAAACUAGACCUCACACCUCCGGCCCAACAAAACGGCGAUGCAAAGCCGGCAGCGGCGCCACCG